Mizuhopecten yessoensis (Yesso scallop) is the source of this 1083-nucleotide long non-coding RNA. RefSeq lists it as uncharacterized. The record is from RefSeq and is a predicted model, not a curated record. Lineage: Eukaryota; Metazoa; Mollusca; Bivalvia; Pectinida; Pectinidae. The transcript has 3 exons.
AAACUGAUGUUUAUGCUUCUUUUGUUUAGUGUUAUUAAAAUAACUUGAUAUUCCUAUGACUUGAAAGGGAAAAAAAAAAAUUCUUUAAAAACUGAAGUGUGCCAUUUUAAAUAUUCCACAGUAAAGUUGACUGAUCCCUCUCCUUCCACACUGCAUGUCCUUAACCUGUUCCCUACAGAAAUCUUAUAUAUGUAUAGCUCAGUAUAUACAUCAGUUAAAUUAGAGAAUUCCACAUUUUUUCUUAUAUUUCUCUUUGUCUAGAUGAUAACAAGAGCUGUGUACACUGAUGGGGGGAAAAACAGACAGAAACAACAGAUGAAGAAGUUUCAGCUCCAGCUCAUUGGUCCAUGAACCUCCCCCUCAACCCCCUGCUGCAAAGAGAAUUAGUGCCGAAAACAAAUCAAACAAAGAUGGAGCUUAUACCUGGGGCUGGGGUUUAUGUGUAUCCCAAACACAUAAAAACCGCACAGAGGAAGACGAAGGGGAACAGGUCGCCAGAUAUUUGAUGUCAGUGUUCUUCACCAACACUGAGCUGGUCAACCUGGGAAAGGUUUGAACCAGAGCAUUGUUGGAGCAAUAAUUGAUUAUGCUGAGGCAAUUCAUGGGAAAAGUGGCCUGUCAGAAAUCAAGUUUUCAAUGAGGACAAAAAUCAGUGCUUUGGUCAGCUUGGCCAGGAGGAACUCAACCACAUAGAACAAAUGAGAGAUUUCAAAUUUUAAGAACUAUUAAUAUGAUUGUUUGUUGUAACUUUACAAGAGAUAUUCUAUUAAUGAUUAUUUUAGGAAUGGUUAUGUGAAAUAGUUGUGAAUACAAGAGAAUAAAAGUGAGUAUGCUAGUGUCAGAACUGGAGAGAGUCAUAGUCAAUGCAGGGCACUUCCUGGAAGUCAACAUGAGAGUAUAUUUAUUACAUUAUUGUGUAUUAUAUUGUAAAAUAAUAGUAACUACAGAAAGUAUUUAUAUAAUAGUAACUACAAGAAAAUAUUUAUAGUGUAGUAAGUGCAAGAGAAUAUCUAUAUGAUAAAUAGUAACUUCAAGAAAAUACUUAUAUAAUAGUAGCUAAAAGAAAAUAUUUAUUCAUAUAUU